GUCAAAUUUUUCUGGAAGAUAAUGACUUCUGAGUCCUCUUGGUGUACUUCAGAGCCACCUUUGGAUAAACAAGAGUUUUGACUGUCACUCUUCAAAAUAAAGAUUCAUCCUGUUGGCCAGUGACUGGAGCAUAGCACCAUAAAAUGGGGUCCUCAAAGGCAUUAAUUUGACCAGAUGAGCCUCCAGAAUCCUGUAAACGUGCAGUGAGAAAAUAGAGGUAUGUAAAAGCCUGUGCCCCUAUUAGAAACAUUUCUCCUACUCAAAUCACUAUACAAAUAAAUCAGGGAAAGAAAAAAAAAAAGGAUGCAGGUAGCCCGAAGGCACUUAACAGAGC
This is a long non-coding RNA of Gallus gallus (chicken), 334 nucleotides long. The record is from Ensembl. NCBI's taxonomy places the organism in Eukaryota, Metazoa, Chordata, Aves, Galliformes, Phasianidae.